GACGAACGCUGGCGGCGUGCUUAACACAUGCAAGUCGAACGGAAAGGCCCUGCUUUUGUGGGGUGCUCGAGUGGCGAACGGGUGAGUAACACGUGAGUAACCUGCCCUUGACUUUGGGAUAACUUCAGGAAACUGUGGCUAAUACCGGAUAGGAGCUCCUGCUGCAUGGUGGGGGAUGGAAAGUUUCGGCGGUUGGGGAUGGACUCGCGGCUUAUCAGCUUGUUGGUGGGGUAGUGGCUUACCACGGCUUUGACGGGUAGCCGGCCUGAGAGGGUGACCGGCAAAAUUGGGACUGAGAUACGGCCCAGACUCCUACGGGAGGAAGCAGUGGGGAAUAUUGCAAAAUGGGCGGAAGCCUGAUGCAGCAACGCCGCGUGCGGGAUGACGGCCUUCGGGUUGUAAACCGCUUUCGCCUGUGACGAAGCGUGAGUGACGGUAAUGGGUAAAGAAGCACCGGCUAACUACGUG
RNAcentral lists this ribosomal RNA (468 nucleotides) under uncultured bacterium. RNAcentral describes it as "partial 16S ribosomal RNA". It matches the Rfam family "Bacterial small subunit ribosomal RNA", at positions 28 to 507 of the family's 1533-position model. The record is from RNAcentral.